UACGGGGGGGGCAAGCGUUGUUCGGAAUUACUGGACGUAAAGGGCUCGUAGGUGGCCAACUAAGUCAGACGUGAAAUCCCUCGGCUUAACCGGGGAACUGCGUCUGAUACUGGAUGGCUUGAGUUUGGGAGAGGGACGCGGAAUUCCAGGUGUAGCGGUGAAAUGCGUAGAUAUCUGGAGGAACACCGGUGGCGAAGGCGGCGUCCUGGACCAACACUGACACUGAGGCGCGAAAGCCAGGGGAGCGAACGGG
This 253-nucleotide ribosomal RNA is filed under the name uncultured bacterium. Its description in RNAcentral is "partial 16S ribosomal RNA". It matches the Rfam family "Bacterial small subunit ribosomal RNA", at positions 524 to 776 of the family's 1533-position model. The record is from RNAcentral.